RNAcentral lists this long non-coding RNA (286 nucleotides) under Nicotiana benthamiana. RNAcentral describes it as "long non-coding RNA (NBEN_LNC009884)". The record is from RNAcentral. Lineage: Eukaryota; Viridiplantae; Streptophyta; Magnoliopsida; Solanales; Solanaceae.
GCUGUGUUAAGAACUCAAUUUGUCCCAUGGAUGCCCAUUUAUCCAAUGCUGAUAUUACAUUUUCUUCAAUAUAUUUUAUGUACAUUGACAAUGCCUCGUGCCCGUUAACAGGUGCUGCAGUUAUUUUCCUUAACCAUUUGUGUUCUUCAUAUUUUAUGUACAUUGACAACGCCUCGUGCCCGUUAACAGGUGCUGCAGUUAUUUUCCUUAACCAUUUGUGUUCUUCAUAUGAAAUGCCAAUAAAUGAUUUUUUCCCAAUGAGUUCCAUUGUAGAAGUAGGCCAUCC